GACGAACGCUGGCGGCGCGCCUAACACAUGCAAGUCGAACGAGCGAGAGAGAGCUUGCUUUCUUGAGCGAGUGGCGAACGGGUGAGUAACGCGUGAGGAACCUGCCUCAAAGAGGGGGACAACAGUUGGAAACGACUGCUAAUACCGCAUAAGCCCACGGUGCCGCAUGGCACAGAGGGAAAAGGAGCAAUCCGCUUUGAGAUGGCCUCGCGUCCGAUUAGCUAGUUGGUGAGGUAACGGCCCACCAAGGCGACGAUCGGUAGCCGGACUGAGAGGUUGAACGGCCACAUUGGGACUGAGACACGGCCCAGACUCCUACGGGAGGCAGCAGUGGGGAGUAUUGCACAAUGGGGGAAACCCUGAUGCAGCGACGCCGCGUGGAGGAAGAAGGUCUUCGGAUUGUAAACUCCUGUUGUUGGGGAAGAUAAUGACGGUACCCAACAAGGAAGUGACGGCUAACUACGUG
RNAcentral lists this ribosomal RNA (466 nucleotides) under uncultured bacterium. RNAcentral describes it as "partial 16S ribosomal RNA". It matches the Rfam family "Bacterial small subunit ribosomal RNA", at positions 28 to 507 of the family's 1533-position model. The record is from RNAcentral.